GCCAGAUAUAAUGAAUAAGGUGUGCAUGCUGAGAGAGAAGUCCCAAAACUUGAUAUAGAGGAAUUUGCUUUAUGUCUAAUGAGUUGG
Molecule: long non-coding RNA, 87 nt
Organism: Cynara cardunculus var. scolymus (artichoke)
Lineage: Eukaryota; Viridiplantae; Streptophyta; Magnoliopsida; Asterales; Asteraceae
Exons: 3
Source: RefSeq, a predicted model, not a curated record